Molecule: unclassified non-coding RNA, 256 nt
Filed under: Hevea brasiliensis (rubber tree)
Lineage: Eukaryota; Viridiplantae; Streptophyta; Magnoliopsida; Malpighiales; Euphorbiaceae
Source: RNAcentral
AACAAAAAAAGAAAAAAAAUUCUUUUCAACUUUUAUUCAAGUUUUUAGCUUUAGAAUCUUUUCAUAUAUCUAAUUUAAUCUAAUAUGUAUUAAGCUUCGAGCAGAUAACACAUGACAUUCUCUCCUUCAAGCUUUUGUCUACAUGGUCUUUUCAAAUUACUUAUGAAUGAUCAUGCUAAUUAACUUAUUAAAAAAAUUUUAUAUAGCAAAUUUCACCAUAUGUUGAUGAUGAUUUUUAAUUAAGGUAUAUUGAGUA